AUUCCAGCUCCAAUAGCGUAUAUUAAAGUUGUUGCAGUUAAAAAGCUCGUAGUUGAACUUCUUGGCAUCCUUUAAGCUGGCUUCGGUCGUUUCAAGGGUGUCAAUCCGCUAGGGAACUACAUUCGCACUUCACUGUGCGGUGUAAGGAACUGGCAUUUUACUUAGAAAAAAUUAGAGUGUUCAAGGCAGGCUAUCGUCCUGAAUACACAAGCUUGGAAUAAUGAAAUAGGACUAUUUCCAUUUUAUUGGUUAUUGGAUUUAGUAAUGAUUAAUAGGGACAGUUGGGGGCAUUUGUAUUUAAUAGUCAGAGGUGAAAUUCUUGGAUUUAUUAAAGACAAACUUAUGCGAAAGCAUUUGCCAAGGAUGUUUUCAUCA
This is a ribosomal RNA of 375 nucleotides. It matches the Rfam family "Eukaryotic small subunit ribosomal RNA", at positions 582 to 975 of the family's 1831-position model.